GGGCGGUUAGCUCAACUGGUAGAGCGCCUCGCUUACACCGAGGAGGUUGUUGGUUCAAUUCCAUCACCGCCCACCA
Molecule: transfer RNA, 76 nt
Filed under: Chloroflexota bacterium
Lineage: Bacteria; Bacillati; Chloroflexota
Description: Chloroflexi bacterium tRNA-Val
Rfam family: tRNA
About the family: Transfer RNA (tRNA) molecules are approximately 80 nucleotides in length. Their secondary structure includes four short double-helical elements and three loops (D, anti-codon, and T loops). Further hydrogen bonds mediate the characteristic L-shaped molecular structure. tRNAs have two regions of fundamental functional importance: the anti-codon, which is responsible for specific mRNA codon recognition, and the 3' end, to which the tRNAs corresponding amino acid is attached (by aminoacyl-tRNA synthetases). tRNAs cope with the degeneracy of the genetic code in two manners: having more than one tRNA (with a specific anti-codon) for a particular amino acid; and 'wobble' base-pairing, i.e. permitting non-standard base-pairing at the 3rd anti-codon position.
Source: RNAcentral